RNAcentral lists this ribosomal RNA (480 nucleotides) under uncultured bacterium. RNAcentral's name for it is "partial 16S ribosomal RNA". It matches the Rfam family "Bacterial small subunit ribosomal RNA", at positions 28 to 523 of the family's 1533-position model. The record is from RNAcentral.
GACGAACGCUGGCGGCGUCCUUAACACAUGCAAGUCGAACGGUGAAAGGGAGCUUGCUCCCUGGAUCAGUGGCGAACGGGUGAGUAACACGUGGGCAACCUGCCCCAGACUUCGGGAUAACGCUUCGAAAGAGGUGCUAAUACCGGAUACGAACUCCUUGGGCAUCCUUGGAGUUGGAAAGUUUUUCGGUCUGGGAUGGCCCGCGGCCUAUCAGCUUGUUAGUGAGGUAACGGCUCACCAAGGCGACGACGGGUCGCCGGCCUGAGAGGGCGACCGGCCACACUGGGACUGAGACACGGCCCAGACUCCUACGGGAGGCAGCAGUGGGGAAUAUUGCGCAAUGGGCGAAAGCCUGACUCAGCAACGCCGCGUGAGGGAUGACGGCCUUCGGGUUGUAAACCUCUUUCAGCAGGGAAGAAGCGAAAGUGACGGUACCUGCAGAAGAAGCACCGGCUAACUACGUGCCAGCCGCCGCAGUAA